CCUGAACGCUGGCGGCGUGGCUAAGACAUGCAAGUCGUACGGAUGUAGCAAUACAUCAGUGGCGAACGGGUGAGUAAUGAAUCGCUAAUGUACCCCGGACUCUGGGAUAGCUGCCCGAAAGGGCAGGUAAUACCAGAUGAUAUAUCUUUAUCGCAUGAUAGAGAUCUCAAAGGUCCGCCGGUCUGGGAGCAGGCGAUUUUGUAUCAGCUAGUUGGUGAGGUAACGGCUCACCAAGGCGAUGACGCAUAGCCGGACUGAGAGGUUGGCCGGCCACAUUGGGACUGAGACACUGCCCAGACUCCGUACGGGGGGCUNCAGUAACGAAUCUUCCGCAAUGCACGAAAGUGUGACGGAGCGACGCCGCGUGUGGGACGAA
RNAcentral lists this ribosomal RNA (376 nucleotides) under uncultured bacterium. Its description in RNAcentral is "bacterial SSU rRNA". It matches the Rfam family "Bacterial small subunit ribosomal RNA", at positions 30 to 412 of the family's 1533-position model. The record is from RNAcentral.